RNAcentral lists this ribosomal RNA (683 nucleotides) under uncultured bacterium. RNAcentral describes it as "bacterial SSU rRNA". It matches the Rfam family "Bacterial small subunit ribosomal RNA", at positions 8 to 694 of the family's 1533-position model. The record is from RNAcentral.
AGAGUUUGAUCCUGGCUCAGGACGAACGCUGGCGGCGUGCUUAACACAUGCAAGUCACGGGGGUCCCGCAAGGGAUAACCGGCGAACGGGUGCGUAACACGUGAACAACCUGCCCUCGUGUGGGGGAUAGCCGGGCUAACGCCCGGGUAAUACCGCAUACGUUCCUCUGGGGGAGUCCCCGGGGGAGGAAAGCUCCGGCGCACGGGGAGGGGUUCGCGGCCUAUCAGCUAGUUGGCGGGGUAAAGGCCCACCAAGGCUACGAUCAGUAUCCGGCCUGAGAGGGCGGACGGACACACUGGGACUGAGACACGGCCCAGACUCCUACGGGAGGCAGCAGUGGGGAAUCUUGCCCAAUGGGCGCAAGCCUGAGGCAGCGACGCCGCGUGGGGGAAGAAGGCCUUCGGGUUGUAAACCCCUUUCAGGAGGGACGAAGCCACUCGGGUUAAUAGCCCAGAGGGUGACGGUACCUCCAGAAGAAGCCCCGGCUAACUACGUGCCAGCAGCCGCGGUAAUACGUAGGGGGCAAGCGUUGUCCGGAUUUAUUGGGCGUAAAGAGCGUGUAGGCGGCUUGGCAAGUCCGCUGUGAAAACUCGAGGCUUAACCUCGAGACGUCGGUGGAAACUGCCUGGCUAGAGUCCGGAAGAGGAGUGUGGAAUUCCUGGUGUAGCGGUGAAAUGCGUAGA